GUGGGAGAGUUCAGUCAGUAAAGCAUGAGACUCCUAAUCUCAGGGUCAUGGGUUUGAGCCCCACAUUCCUGCA
Molecule: non-coding RNA, 73 nt
Organism: Podarcis lilfordi (Lilford's wall lizard)
Lineage: Eukaryota; Metazoa; Chordata; Lepidosauria; Squamata; Lacertidae
Source: the annotation of a GenBank genome assembly